GGGGGGGGGGGGGGGGGGGGGGGGGGGGUGGGGGUGGGAGGGGACGGGCGGGGCGGGGGGCGAACGGGUGGGUGGCGCGGGGUGACGUGCCGUUGGUUGCGGAAUAAGUGCGGGAAGGGGGUGCUCGUGCGGGAUAAUGUAUUCGUACCACAGAUUUAUCGCCUUUGGAUGGGCCCGCGUUGGAUUAGUGAGAUGGUAGGGUAAAAGCCUACCAAUGCGACGGUCCAUAGCUGGUCUGAGAGGAUGAUCAGCCACACUGGGACUGAGACACGGCCCAGACUCCUACGGGAGGCAGCAGUGGGGAAUAUUGGACAAUGGGCGAAAGCAUGAUCCAGCAAUGCCGCGUGAGUGAUGAAGGCCUUAGGGUUGUAAAGCUCUUUUACCCGGGAUGAUAAUGACAGUACCGGGAGAAUAAGCGCCGGCUAACUCCGUG
RNAcentral lists this ribosomal RNA (433 nucleotides) under uncultured bacterium. Its description in RNAcentral is "partial 16S ribosomal RNA". It matches the Rfam family "Bacterial small subunit ribosomal RNA", at positions 39 to 507 of the family's 1533-position model. The record is from RNAcentral.